This 497-nucleotide ribosomal RNA is filed under the name uncultured bacterium. RNAcentral's name for it is "partial 16S ribosomal RNA". It matches the Rfam family "Bacterial small subunit ribosomal RNA", at positions 28 to 507 of the family's 1533-position model. The record is from RNAcentral.
GAUGAACGCUGGCGGCGUGCCUAAUACAUGCAAGUCGAGCGAACAGACGAGGAUCUUGCUCCUCUGACGUUAGCGGCGGACGGGUAAGUAACACGUGGAUAACCUACCUAUAAGACUGGGAUAACUUCGGGAAACCGGAGAUAACACCGGAUAAUAUAUUGAACCGCAUGGUUCAAUAGUGAAAGACGGUUUUGCUGUCACUUAUAGAUGGAUCCGCGCCGCAUUAGCUAGUUGGUAAGGUAACGGCUUACCAAGGCGACGAUGCGUAGCCGACCUGAGAGGGUGAUCGGCCACACUGGAACUGAGACACGGUCCAGACUCCUACGGGAGGCAGCAGUAGGGAAUCUUGCGCAAUGGGCGAAAGCCUGACGGAGCAACGCCGCGUGAGUGAUGAAGGUCUUCGGAUCGUAAAACUCUGUUAUUAGGGAAGAACAAAUGUGUAAGUAACUAUGCACGUCUUGACGGUACCUAAUCAGAAAGCCACGGCUAACUACGUG